CACUAGCCUUUUAAGCUAGAGAAAGAGGACUGCCAAACCUCCCUAAUGAC
RNAcentral lists this transfer RNA (50 nucleotides) under Calothorax lucifer. RNAcentral describes it as "partial tRNA-Lys". Lineage: Eukaryota; Metazoa; Chordata; Aves; Apodiformes; Trochilidae. The record is from RNAcentral.